GAAAUGCGAUACGUAGUGUGAAUUGCAGAAUUCAGUGAAUCAUCGAAUCUUUGAACGCACAUUGCGCCCUUUGGUAUUCCAAAGGGCAUGCCUGUUCGAGCGUCAUUUGUACCCUCAAGCUUUGCUUGGUGUUGGGCGUUUUUUGUCUUUGGCUCGCCCAAAGACUCGCCUUAAAACGAUUGGCAGCCGGCCUACUGGUUUCGCAGCGCAGCACAUUUUUGCGCUUGCAAUCAGCAAAAGAGGACGGCAAUCCAUCAAGACUCCUUCUCACGUUUGACCUCGGAUCAGGUAGGGAUCCCCGCUGAACUUAAGC
RNAcentral lists this unclassified non-coding RNA (313 nucleotides) under plant metagenome. RNAcentral's name for it is "partial contains 5.8S ribosomal RNA, internal transcribed spacer 2, and large subunit ribosomal RNA". The stretch from base 1 to 105 matches the Rfam family "5.8S ribosomal RNA", at positions 50 to 154 of the family's 154-position model. The record is from RNAcentral.